GGUGAAGUUUUCGGAUCGCGGCGACGCCGGCGGUUCGCCGCCGGUGCUGUUGUGAGAAGUUCAUUAAACCUUAUCAUUUAGAGGAAGGAGAAGUCGUAACAAGGUUUCCGUAGGUGAACCUGCGGAAGGAUCAUUG
Molecule: ribosomal RNA, 136 nt
Filed under: Lejeunea anisophylla
Lineage: Eukaryota; Viridiplantae; Streptophyta; Jungermanniopsida; Porellales; Lejeuneaceae
Description: partial 18S ribosomal RNA
Rfam family: Eukaryotic small subunit ribosomal RNA
Source: RNAcentral